RNAcentral lists this non-coding RNA (30 nucleotides) under Rattus norvegicus (Norway rat). Lineage: Eukaryota; Metazoa; Chordata; Mammalia; Rodentia; Muridae. The record is from RNAcentral.
UGUCCUUGGGGUGCAUGCACUCAGGGCUUU